CCCUUAGAUGUUCUGGGCCGCACGCGCGCUACACUGAUUCAUGCAACAAGUUUUGUCCUUGGCUGAUAGGCCUGGGUAAUCUUUGAACGUGAAUCGUGAUGGGGAUAGAUGAUUGCAAUUAUUCAUCUUCAACGAGGAAUUCCUAGUAAACGCAAGUCAUCAGCUUGCAUUGAUUACGUCCCUGCCCUUUGUACACACCGCCCGUCGCACCUACCGAUUGAAUGGUCCGGUGAAAUCUUCGGAUCUGAGAGAUGUUGGAUUAAUUUCUGACGCCUUUUGGAAAAGUCGCUUAAACCUUAUCAUUUAGAGGAAGGUGAAGUCGUAACA
This 327-nucleotide ribosomal RNA is filed under the name uncultured eukaryote. Its description in RNAcentral is "partial 18S ribosomal RNA". It matches the Rfam family "Eukaryotic small subunit ribosomal RNA", at positions 1470 to 1796 of the family's 1831-position model. The record is from RNAcentral.